RNAcentral lists this ribosomal RNA (468 nucleotides) under uncultured bacterium. RNAcentral describes it as "partial 16S ribosomal RNA". It matches the Rfam family "Bacterial small subunit ribosomal RNA", at positions 28 to 507 of the family's 1533-position model. The record is from RNAcentral.
GACGAACGCUGGCGGCGUGCUUAACACAUGCAAGUCGAACGGAAAGGCCCUGCCUUUGUGGGGUGCUCGAGUGGCGAACGGGUGAGUAACACGUGAGUAACCUGCCCUUGACUUUGGGAUAACUUCAGGAAACUGGGGCUAAUACCGGAUAGGAGCUCCUGCUGCAUGGUGGGGGCUGGAAAGUUUCGGCGGUUGGGGAUGGACUCGCGGCCUAUCAGCUUGUUGGUGGGGUAGUGGCUUACCAAGGCUUUGACGGGUAGCCGGCCUGAGAGGGUAACCGGCCAAGUUGGGACUGAGAUGCGGCCCGGACUCCUACGGGAGGCAGGGGAGGGGAAUAUUGCACAAUGGGCGGAGGCCUGGUGCGACAACGCCGCGUGCGGGAUGACGGCCAUCGGGUUGUAAACCGCUUUCGCCUGUGACGAAACGUGAGUGACAGUAAUGGGUAAAGAAGCACCGGCUAACUACGUG